Long non-coding RNA from Haliotis rubra (blacklip abalone), 269 nucleotides. RefSeq lists it as uncharacterized. The transcript has 2 exons. Lineage: Eukaryota; Metazoa; Mollusca; Gastropoda; Lepetellida; Haliotidae. The record is from RefSeq and is a predicted model, not a curated record.
UACCUCCAACGUAUCUCUGUAAAUAGUCACUGGUGGUAUUUCCAAUUUCUUCUUUCAAAAGUCCCUUACCUGAUAGUUGACCUAUUGCACUAUAAACGGAAAAAAUUGUGAAGUCAGGGUCGAGGCAACGAACAAUUUAUCACGGUGUGUAUCGUAGUAGCCAGGUGUAUUUUCAGCGCCAGCUUCAAGUCUGUUUUCCUUGUAGUCGCCAUUAAUCAAGUCUUGUAUAUUUGUAGAGUGUAUGUAGAAAAUGGACCAAGUUCAUUUCA